Long non-coding RNA from Hemicordylus capensis (graceful crag lizard), 574 nucleotides. RefSeq lists it as uncharacterized. NCBI's taxonomy places the organism in Eukaryota, Metazoa, Chordata, Lepidosauria, Squamata, Cordylidae. The transcript is spliced from 2 exons. The record is from RefSeq and is a predicted model, not a curated record.
AUUGCAUUCCACUCCACUCAGUUGCUGGUCCUGACCAAGCAUGAUGUGUUCUUCUUUGCAGAAACAGAGCCAGUCACAUGGCAGCAGAACAAACAGCUGCUAGAAAUAGAGUUUCCAUGCAGCUGCCUGCAGUGUUAGGCAGCCAUCUAACAGGCACAGAGGCAAAGAAGCUGCAUUGAAGUAGGCAGCCUACAAGCAAGGCUGACAGUAGCAGUAGUGCGAGACCAGCUGCUCAUUUGUGGGGCAGUCCCUGUUUUCCUCCCAGGACUCCUGUACUUUCGGAAGCUACUUGACAGAUAGAAAUUCAGCCAAAACCAGCCCCCCAUGAAGGUGCAGUAAUGGGGAUGCUGCUUCUGUUACUCUUCUGUCUGAUGUGCCGAUUUCAAAGAUAUCGGCUGAAAUUUUUUUAGACUGGCAUAGGAGAUAAUAUUUCAGAGAAUUAUCCUACCCAUUCUAUUAAAUGUAUUGGAGAAUAUUCCUUCACAGAGCUAGAAUCCCCAUGGCACUAUGAAGCUAUCAGAAGAACUCACUCCAGAACUGAUAAUGUUGUUCGAUAAAAGCAUCGAUUGUUUUA